CCACCUUGUCUUAGACUGCAUGCAUCGCUG
RNAcentral lists this small RNA (30 nucleotides) under Arabidopsis thaliana (thale cress). RNAcentral's name for it is "ATSL020580". The record is from RNAcentral. Lineage: Eukaryota; Viridiplantae; Streptophyta; Magnoliopsida; Brassicales; Brassicaceae.